This 461-nucleotide ribosomal RNA is filed under the name uncultured bacterium. RNAcentral describes it as "partial 16S ribosomal RNA". It matches the Rfam family "Bacterial small subunit ribosomal RNA", at positions 338 to 795 of the family's 1533-position model. The record is from RNAcentral.
CCUACGGGUGGCUGCAGUGAGGAAUAUUGGUCAAUGGGCGGGAGCCUGAACCAGCCAAGCCGCGUGAGGGAAGAAGGUACAGCGUAUCGUAAACCUCUUUUGUCAGGGAACAAAGGCGGGGACUAGUCCCCGGAUGAGGGUACCUGAAGAAAAAGCAUCGGCUAACUCCGUGCCAGCAGCCGCGGUAAUACGGGGGAUGCAAGCGUUAUCCGGAUUUAUUGGGUUUAAAGGGUGCGUAGGCUGUGAGGUAAGUCAGCGGUGAAAUGCCCCCGCUCAACGGGGUGAAGUGCCAUUGAUACUGCCUUGCUGGAAUGCGGAUGCCGUGGGAGGAAUGUGUGGUGUAGCGGUGAAAUGCAUAGAUAUCACACAGAACACCGAUUGCGAAGGCAUCUCACGAAUCCGCGAUUGACGCUGAUGCACGAAAGCGUGGGUAUCAAACAGGAUUAGAUACCCGGGUAGUC